This is a non-coding RNA of Pelobates cultripes (western spadefoot toad), 211 nucleotides long. The record is from the annotation of a GenBank genome assembly. Lineage: Eukaryota; Metazoa; Chordata; Amphibia; Anura; Pelobatidae.
UUUUCAUUUAUCUCCAUUUUUAUAGUAAAGUUUGCUUUCUUUCCUUUCCUUUUUUUCCCUUUUCCUUAUCCUCCUUCCCCCUCUUCCCUUUUUCUCUAAACAAGGCAUAUUUAGGUUUUUCACAUGUAUAAUUAAGCAAUUUUUGAACCUUUCACUUUCUCUCUGUUUAUAUACAGAUGACGUUUGUGGAUAUUAUAUGUUUUCAAAUUAC